Molecule: long non-coding RNA, 766 nt
Organism: Anas platyrhynchos (mallard)
Lineage: Eukaryota; Metazoa; Chordata; Aves; Anseriformes; Anatidae
Source: RefSeq, a predicted model, not a curated record
AUGUUGCUUUCACUUUCUGUUCCAGCUUUCUGUUUAGUCCUCUGCAUCCCGUGUCCAUGGACGUGGAAAUCUAUCGCUUCAAGAAAUGGACAAAUUACAUAUUUUGGUACCAGAAUCGCUGUUUUGAAAUCAGGGGCCUGUGGCUUCACUAUUACUGGGACACGGAUGACGUUGGCAAUGUCAUACGUGGCAGCAUGAAUCUCAAGAAUGCCACAGCAUGGAGGGUCAAUGAGAAAAAGCUGCAUUUGUCUAACCAUAGUUUAAUAUACUACCUCAAGUCAGACAGUAAGAAGGACAUGGAUAUCUUUGUCAGGAAGCUUAAGGAAUUAAAUGUCGUCAUCACUGACAGCUAGUGGAGAAGCAUCUUGUGCCUAACAAUGUGUUAAUUUUUUUUCAUUGUGAAAAAAUAAUUUCAUUAGAAGGACUAUAUCAAUUGCCAGUGACUGCUCAAACUGUGGAAAUAUCAAAGUAUUUUAAAUUGUCUGUUGUUGCACUGUUAAAAGAAAAUAUUACCCAUCUUGUGCUGCUUGUUUGCAAGAUAGCAAUGAAACGUCACAACGUGUGUUGGAACAUUUAGGAGCUUGGAACAUUUAGGAACUGAACUACAAGAAAAUGUUUUCAGCUUUGAAAAUGUAAUAUUUGCAGCUGAAGAUGCCAACAUUGCCUUUGGAGAAACUCUGUGUAUAGUAUACUAUUAUUUGAAAGCAGGACUGAACACACACACUGUAUAAGCAAUGCAAAUACUAUUUGAGUUUGAAUGUUUUCA